This 211-nucleotide non-coding RNA is filed under the name Spirosoma sp. The record is from RNAcentral. Lineage: Bacteria; Pseudomonadati; Bacteroidota; Cytophagia; Cytophagales; Cytophagaceae.
CCUUUGCCCUGAGUUUUCGGUGCCUGAUGUCGUUUCGUGGCGACUUUCAAGGCUUAAAAGGGAAGUUUGGUGAAAUACCAACGCUGUCCCCGCAACUGUAAGUCUCUCAAAAAGUCGAUUCAUACUCCGUGGCCACUGCGCUGAUACUCAGUGCGGGAAGGUUCGAAUCGAUGAGACGAGCCAGGAGACCUGCCGACAACCAUCCGCUGUU